GUCACUUUCCCUAUUUGAGUGUCUGAGUUGCUAAAAAAAUGGGUUAUUUGUUUUAGUGUUUGAAAUUUGAACAGUUUCUAUUCUUAAGAAAUACAAUUGCAACUCUUUGUUUUUUAAUACAUAGAAUAUGAAUACCUUAAUGGGGCAGAAAAAUGAUAGAAGAAAAACAAUUUUAUUUUAAACGAUGCCAAAAAGAGUUCAAACACCAUUUAUACCAUGGAUUUGCCAUGCUUUUUUAAAAGAACAAGACUGUGUACUGUUUAUGUUCUAAAAAUGAUUAUGUUCUCAUCCGAAUGCCCUGUUUGCCAUAAAGUUGCAUAUUUAUUUUCUCAUAUGAAUAUGUAGUUUUAUAUUUGAGUGGUAGUGCCUGUGUACAUUCUUGUUUUGAUAAGAUGUGAAAUUAAUCUUUUGACAAUUGAAGUAAAGUAAUCAUUUAUACAUGUGCAUUCAUUGAUUUGGCAUAAAUUACAUUUUGUUUUUAGAUUUAGAAUUUUUUUAAAAAAAAAA
RNAcentral lists this unclassified non-coding RNA (507 nucleotides) under Hevea brasiliensis (rubber tree). The record is from RNAcentral. Lineage: Eukaryota; Viridiplantae; Streptophyta; Magnoliopsida; Malpighiales; Euphorbiaceae.